Molecule: non-coding RNA, 73 nt
Organism: Triplophysa rosa
Lineage: Eukaryota; Metazoa; Chordata; Actinopteri; Cypriniformes; Nemacheilidae
Source: the annotation of a RefSeq genome assembly
AUUCCCAUAGCUCAGAUGGAUAGAGUGGUAGCCUCCUAAGCUACAGACAUAGGUUCGAAUCCUAUUGGGAAUA